This 483-nucleotide ribosomal RNA is filed under the name uncultured bacterium. RNAcentral describes it as "partial 16S ribosomal RNA". It matches the Rfam family "Bacterial small subunit ribosomal RNA", at positions 28 to 507 of the family's 1533-position model. The record is from RNAcentral.
GACGAACGCUGGCGGCGUGCUUAACACAUGCAAGUCGAACGCUGAAGCUCAGCUUUUGUUGGGUGGAUGAGUGGCGAACGGGUGAGUAACACGUGAGUAACCUGCCUCCUUCUUUGGGAUAACGCCCGGAAACGGGUGCUAAUACUGGAUAUUCACUGGUCUUCGCAUGGGGGUUGGUGGAAAGGGUUUUUCUGGUGGGGGAUGGGCUCGCGGCCUAUCAGCUUGUUGGUGGGGUGAUGGCCUACCAAGGCUUUGACGGGUAGCCGGCCUGAGAGGGUGACCGGUCACAUUGGGACUGAGAUACGGCCCAGACUCCUACGGGAGGCAGCAGUGGGGAAUAUUGCACAAUGGGCGCAAGCCUGAUGCAGCGACGCCGCGUGAGGGAUGGAGGCCUUCGGGUUGUGAACCUCUUUCGCUCAUGGUCAAGCCGCAACAAUGGUUGUGGUGAGGGUAGUGGGUAAAGAAGCGCCAGCUAACUACGUG